GGUUAUAUUGGUGGCUGGACUUGCAGUUGUUUGGCAAUUGUAUUUUACCUGACUCGAACAAUUUUAAUUCAGAAGCACACUUUUUCUUAUCAGCUUUUACCUGACUCGAACAAUUUUACGCGUACUGUAAUGUAAUGUAGGAAUGUAACCCAAUUUUUGUAUUAUAUCAGCUUUGUUUGGUUGGGCCUAAUUUGGACAUCAAUUGGACUCCUGGGGUGGAUUUCGUAUUUUGCCAUGGGCGCUCUUUCUGGGUCAGAAUUUCUUUCAGGUCGAGAGAAUGCAAGUAGCCGAAAGGUAUAAAUUUUGCUGGUAAAAAAAGAAUCAG
Molecule: long non-coding RNA, 325 nt
Filed under: Linum usitatissimum (flax)
Lineage: Eukaryota; Viridiplantae; Streptophyta; Magnoliopsida; Malpighiales; Linaceae
Description: long non-coding RNA (LUSI_LNC004651)
Source: RNAcentral